Molecule: ribosomal RNA, 422 nt
Filed under: uncultured cyanobacterium
Lineage: Bacteria; Bacillati; Cyanobacteriota
Description: bacterial SSU rRNA
Rfam family: Bacterial small subunit ribosomal RNA
Source: RNAcentral
GGAAUUUUCCGCAAUGGGCGAAAGCCUGGCGGAGCAACGCCGCGUGAGGGAUGAAGGCCUCUGGGCUGUAAACCUCUUUUAUCAAGGAAGAAGAUCUGACGGUACUUGAUGAAUAAGCCACGGCUAAUUCCGUGCUAGCAGCCGCGGUAAUACGGGAGUGGCAAGCGUUAUCCGGAAUUAUUGGGCGUAAAGCGUCCGCAGGCGGUCUUGUAAGUCUGUCGUUAAAGCGUGGAGCUUAACUCCAUUUAAGCGAUGGAAACUGCAAGACUAGAGUGUGGUAGGGGCAGAGGGAAUUCCCGGUGUAGCGGUGAAAUGCGUAGAUAUCGGGAAGAACACCAGUGGCGAAGGCGCUCUGCUGGGCCAUAACUGACGCUCAUGGACGAAAGCCAGGGGAGCGAAAGGGAUUAGAUACCCCUGUAGUC